This is an RNA transcript of Anopheles funestus (African malaria mosquito), 5883 nucleotides long. It is a transcript of the gene named C-terminal-binding protein, with no coding region annotated. The transcript has 9 exons. NCBI's taxonomy places the organism in Eukaryota, Metazoa, Arthropoda, Insecta, Diptera, Culicidae. The record is from RefSeq and is a predicted model, not a curated record.
ACAUGGCCGCCGCGCCACCAUUUUCGAACUCGAAAGGUAGCGAGGACGACGCGUUGCUUUUUCCUCCAAUCGAACCGGGCGGUGAAAAAUUACUUCCAAUAGUUUCCAGUCAUUUUUCGGUGUGCAAAUGUCGCUCGAAUCGAUCGCAAGACCGAUCCGGUGCUAGAUGCAGCUUGAAACAGCAAAUGUUUAUGGUGUGUUUUGUUUCAAUAUUCGUCCAGAGCGUACCCAAGGACUCGGGGACCACUGUAUGAUCGGUAGAAAAGCAACACGUCAUAGCAACCAAGUGUGUCGUGUGUGUGUCGGGAGUGCGUUUACGUGCGGGAAAGUGUGAAGCAGUGUGUGAAUGAGUAGUGCAUGCGAAAACCACGACGUGUGUGCGUGUACUCACAAGUUUUGCUCUUGAGCAACAGAUCCUUGGUUUAGACACACCAAGAACUACUAAAAUUUCCGGCAGUCUUGGUGUUUUUUCUUCUUCCUCUCUCCUGUGGACAUUCUUCAAACAUUAGUCCGCAGUGAGUGCGUGCGUGUUAAGGGUGUGUUGCAGAACGAAAAAAAAAACGGAGAACAAAGAGUGUGGAGAGACAAUAGGAAAAGGAUUGAAUAUCCUGUGUUCUGUGUUGUGUGUUAGUGAACGGGAAGAAGGACGGACGGGAAGCGAUUGGUUCGGUGGUUCGCACGCGGCGGAACACGGAAGUAAACAAGCGCACAAACCGAGCCGAACGUCUGGCCGGGCAGAACGGUGGUUGUAACAACAAUGAUGCCGAAACGAUCACGUCUGGGUGACGUCCGCGGGCCAAUUUCGAACGGACCGAUGCAAUCGCGCCCACUGGUCGCCCUGCUCGAUGGGCGCGACUGUUCGAUUGAGAUGCCCAUACUGAAGGAUGUGGCCACGGUUGCAUUCUGCGAUGCACAGAGCACAUCAGAGAUUCAUGAAAAAGUAUUAAACGAAGCCGUCGGCGCACUGAUGUGGCACACAAUCAUUCUGACGAAGGAGGAUCUGGAAAAGUUCAAAGCCCUCCGGAUAAUCGUCCGGAUUGGUAGCGGUGUCGAUAACAUUGACGUAAAGGCGGCCGGUGAGCUCGGUAUCGCCGUCUGCAAUGUGCCCGGAUACGGCGUCGAGGAGGUCGCCGAUACGACCAUGUGCUUGAUCCUGAAUCUUUACCGGCGGACCUACUGGUUGGCGAACAUGGUGCGAGAAGGCAAGAAAUUUACAGGCCCGGAACAGGUGCGAGAUGCAGCGCAGGGAUGUGCCAGAAUACGCGGUGAUACACUUGGGUUGGUUGGACUGGGACGCAUUGGCAGUGCGGUCGCGCUGCGAGCAAAAGUAUUCGGCUUCAACGUGAGCUUCUACGAUCCGUACCUGCCGGACGGUAUCGAGAAAUCGCUCGGACUCAACCGCGUCUACACACUGCAAGAACUGCUGUUCCACUCCGAUUGCGUCUCGCUGCACUGUACAUUAAAUGAACAUAAUCAUCACCUUAUCAAUGAGUUUACGAUUAAACAGAUGAGACCCGGUGCAUUCCUGGUAAAUACGGCACGCGGUGGCCUGGUGGAUGACGAGGCGCUAGCCGUCGCACUGAAGCAAGGUCGAAUCCGGGCGGCAGCACUAGACGUUCAUGAGAAUGAGCCAUACAAUGUAUUUCAGGGUGCCCUGAAAGAUGCCCCCAACCUGCUCUGUACGCCACACGCUGCCUUCUACAGCGAAGCGGCCACGACGGAACUGCGCGAGAUGGCGGCGAGCGAAAUCCGACGGGCAAUCAUUGGCAAUAUACCGGAAUGUCUCCGGAACUGCGUAAACAAGGAAUACUUCCUGCGUUCGUCGACGGGCGGUGGAGCCGGCGGAUACUCAGAAGCUGGUAUAAAUGGCGGCUAUUAUUCAGGUGGAUUACAGCAAGCCCAUAGUACAACACCGCUCGAGGCACCACACAGUGCAGGAUCGCAUGCGCCACCCAGCGGCGGCGGUCCCCCGCCACCGUCCGUUGCCGUAAUACCGCCUGUUUCCGCUGUUACAGCGCCACCACCACAAGCCUCUUAGUGCCCCAGAUCCAAGUAAUCAUCAUUCGGUUAAGCCGGAACCAUCAGAAGUACAUUAGUUUUUAUCGUAAUGAAAAUAAUAUUAUAUAUAUAUAUGCUGCUACUACCUUUACGAUUGUAACGACAAAAAGAAAAACGAAAAUGAAAAAUGUUCAUCUAAACUACACCAUGUUGUACACAGUCACACCACUGACGGAGAGCAUCAGAAAAGGAGAGCUAGGCACACAUAUAGACAUACACAGAUACAGCACUAGAGGUCCCAGACUUUCCCAGGGCGAAAUAUAUAUGUAAAACGAAAACAAAGUAAGCAAAUGUGACUACCACCACUCCUUUGUAAUGAACUGUAGAAAUGCAUAAGAAUUAUGAAGUAUAUAUGGAAGAAUUUUCUUAGAUCGACAAGCUCUUAUGCAAUGCAAAGCAAGAAAAACAAAAAAAAAACAAAACAAAACACAAAACACAGCAAGAAGGAGUGGAUAAUAAGUGCGCAAAAACGGUAAACUAAUAAAAUGCAAUAAAAAUACACACACAAACAUACAUACAAAAAGGAAGAAAAAACGAUAGCAAAACAAAAAAAAAUGCAACAGCCAGCAAUUUAAGGGAAACAUUGAGCAACAAUGCAACAAAAGUAACGAAAGGUACGAACAAGAGAGGUGUAUUAGUUUAUAUACUAUUAUUUGACAAAACAAAAUGUGAAUUGUAAUUCUAUAAAUAAAACAGUUGAGAUAUGAAAUGGAAAAAAGCGAAAUACAAGAAAAAACACGGAAAUGGGAAAAGCAAGCACUAGUUACGUGUAUAAGAAAGGAUUUUAUUUUUUAUUGUUUAAUGUGCUUUUUGUCCUUGACAAAAAGAAUAAGAGAGAGAGAGAGAGUGCGAGAGAGAGAGAAAUGAAAUACAUUGUGUACGAAAAAUUAGAAUAAAUUAAGAGUAGAAAGAGGAUAAUGCUAUUAAAAACAUACUACUAACUAACCUACAUACAUGCAAAUACAAAAACACAUACACACACACAUAUACACCAUCCACAAACAAGUAAUGGACAAAGGACACGUUCAUACAUAAGGGUAGAAGGUUUACUUGAAGAUAAAUCAAUUUACCACAAAAGGAAGAAGUAAGUUUGACAACAUUUCCCCCAAAACACGAACACACAGACACAAUUACUCACGCAUUACGCAUUCACACACAAAGUUCCAUAAAUAGAUAAAAAGAAAACAAAACACAUAAACACGUGCAUAUACACAUUCGGAGGUAGGUAAGGUAUGAAUAAUGGGAAAAAACAAACGAGAAUUAAUGUGUAAUUGAUAAUAAUAAUUGAUAAUAAUUAUAAAAGUGGUGAAACACUUGCGCUAUACAUUUAGUGCAAAGGGAAGAAGAUGCGAAAGAUAGUAAAGAAUGGGACAAGAAAGGGCAGAAGAGUGCAUACAGAUACACACAAACACACACACAAGCCCCUCAUCCCCUGCACGCAGGUGCAAGAGAAGCAGGCAAAGAAUAUGCAACCGUUUUUUCUGUCACAGUAGGCAAUGGUGUAACGAAGGAUAAACAAAACACUUUUGAGGAGUUUUGGCGAUAAAUAAGAAUGUAAAAAAAAACAACAACGUUUUCUUAUUUCUUUUUUUUUUUACUUUGGGGGCUGUACAACCGUUAUCGGAUUAGGCCUCUCCAGCAGUUUAGCUUUUUUUUUCUUAGGAGGCAGAUUGCCUGUGACUUUAAUUAUCCAAAACGGAAUGGACAGUUUUUGUUGCUGAUUGUGAUUUGAACCCAGAUGUGUAAUGGUAAAGACUCGCACACUCCCAACUGUUGCACUGCAAUCAAGCAAAAGAUAGUGCAAAUAAAUGCAGAAAAUGGUAGAGAAGUGUCAUGCCCUUACAAUAUGGAACAAUAUGCCAGAGAAGAAGGAAAAAAAACACUCUAAUAAGCAACACCACGUCUUUGAUGUGAAUGGCACAUUUAUUUGUUUAGCAUAAGUUUGAAUGAUUGUAAAUGAACAUUGUUAAACCGUAGAGGAGGGAAUGCGUAAAGUGUGUGACCGGAAGUAACACACACACACACCCAAGCUGACCACGGUGUCAUACACGGCGGUGUCUUAAUGAUAGCGAAUUGUCAAGCAAGUCAAAAGAUCAGCAAACAGCAACGACAUCCUGCAAGACCAAUGGUAAUUACGUAAAAAAAGUGAAAAGCAGAUUAGAAACAGUUAGUAGAAACGUCCCAAAUGUGCAUGUGCAUUCGCAUCUUUUGCGCAAAGAUUAAGCAUGUAAAGAGAGGGGAACUGUGCGGACCCACUAUGUUUUUUUUUGUCCCAACCAUGCAAUAAUCGAACCGACCCAUAGAUUGCACCACAUUCUCCCUACUUUUAUUGUCGGUAUUUCUAGAACAGUAACGUCUAGAAAUGAGAUAAAAAUUAUACUUCUUAUGGAAUUCCAAUGUUGCAAAUAUAGAUGGAGUAUUGCAUAAUGUACAGGCGCAAUUCUUUCACCUGGCAUCAAACGCGGGGUACAUGUACAUGUGCACACUUUAUCUUAUAGAGCAGGUCCGUUCUUGUCUGGCCUCUUUGAACAAAACAAGCAAACAUAUAUGUAUAUGUGUGUGUGUUUUUUAAAAGUUCUUUCCUUCUGCAAGAUUUGAGGAUAAUUGUGUACAAAACAAACAAACAAACAAAAAAAACCCCUAUACACAGCAUAUGCAAAUUGCGCCGGCACAACAGGGACAAUGCAACACGAUAAUAGUAGCUACUGUGGACAAUGCAAACAAUGUGCUUCGUUUUAGUUUGUUUUUUUUUUAAAGUUGUCAAUAAGAGUCUCUCGGUUCACAAAUGCAAAGGCUUCAUUUGUCAAAAAAAAUAAAAAAAAACAAUAAAAUUAAUUCCUUGACGAAAACACGUGCUAUGUGUGAAAUGGUCGUCUUUUCUUUCUGUUUACGUAUGGUGGGGGGCGAUAGUCAAUAAUGGGGCAAAACGAAACUAAGAGAUGAUUGCCGGAUGGAUUAAAUGCGGGCGAUGUGUGUUUGUGUGUGUACGUGCGCGGGUCAACUUCUUCAACGUUUCACUGCACUCGGUCCGAUCCGGAGAAGAGAUGAAAGAUGGCAUAGUGGUGGCGAUCAUCGGCGAACCUAAAGCAACAUGGAGCAUGGAACAACCGAAUGGGUGUGAUCGAACAUGUGACCGAUCGGUCGAACAUGUAACCGAAUUACGUCGCCAACAGCAGCACAGUAGAUUGCUGCGAAACUCUUAGCGGGAACUACUUGAAUGAACUGAAUGAAUGAGAAAAACAAAAACCAGUAACAUGCAAAAAGUGGAAAAAAAGCAAAAGUUAAGACACACAAAGCCGCACACAAAACGCGCACACACGCAUUCACAAACCAACAAUUGUAAGGGAUCUGCUAGAACAAAAUGGACGCCGCAUAAGAAAGAGUAUUGUAAGAAAAUCAGCAUAACUAACUCAGCUCUAACCGAGAAAAGGGACAUGGAGAAAAGAAAGAUAGAGAGAGAGAAAGAGAGGAGAGAGAGAGAGAAAAUUUGAUUCGUAAAAAAAGGUAAAAGUACGGUUAGCUUUGUAGGAAAGGUAAGCGAAAUUUGGUAAAAAGAAAAUCUGUGUUUGAACUGUAAGAGACAAAAACAUACUAAAAUAUAAGAAGGCAACAAAAAGAAAAACACACAAACAGAUUAAGUGAAACGCGUUCGAAGUGUAGAGAAGAAACUUAAAGCAAAAAAAAAAAAAGAAAACAUUCACAGUGCAGAAUUGCAACAAGCAAAAGGUAAAAACAAAACAAGAGAAGCACUAAAGGAUGUAAUGAUGGAGUAAAAAAUGACGACGAAUGAUAAACCUGAAAUAAAUAAACGAAAACGUAACUGUC